Molecule: ribosomal RNA, 337 nt
Filed under: uncultured bacterium
Lineage: Bacteria
Description: bacterial SSU rRNA
Rfam family: Bacterial small subunit ribosomal RNA
Source: RNAcentral
GGCGUAAAGCGCAGGUAGGCGGUUUGGUAAGUCUUUUGUGAAAGCUCCUGGCUCAACUGGGAGAGGUCAAGGGAAACUACCGGACUAGAGUGUGGUAGGGGAUACUGGAAUUCCUGGUGUAGCGGUGAAAUGCGUAGAUAUCAGGAGGAAUACCUAUGGCGAAAGCAGGUAUCUGGGCCAUCACUGACGCUGAGCUGCGAAAGCUAGGGGAGCAAACAGGAUUAGAUACCCUGGUAGUCCUAGCCCUAAACGAUGCUCAUUAGAUGUGGGAGGUAUCGACCCCUUCCGCGUCACAGCUAACGCAUUAAAUGAGCCGCCUGGGGAGUACGGCCGCAAG